AAAAAGGUAAGCUAAAUAAAGCUAUUGGGUUCAUACCCCAACUAUAAAAUUAAUUUUUCUUUUUA
This 65-nucleotide transfer RNA is filed under the name Lucidina sp. FM13. RNAcentral describes it as "tRNA-Met". Lineage: Eukaryota; Metazoa; Arthropoda; Insecta; Coleoptera; Lampyridae. The record is from RNAcentral.